RNAcentral lists this ribosomal RNA (702 nucleotides) under uncultured Staphylococcus sp. RNAcentral describes it as "bacterial SSU rRNA". It matches the Rfam family "Bacterial small subunit ribosomal RNA", at positions 61 to 745 of the family's 1533-position model. Lineage: Bacteria; Bacillati; Bacillota; Bacilli; Caryophanales; Staphylococcaceae. The record is from RNAcentral.
GUCGAGCGAACAGACGAGGAGCUUGCUCCUCUGACGUUAGCGGCGGACGGGUGAGUAACACGUGGAUAACCUACCUAUAAGACUGGGAUAACUUCGGGAAACCGGAGCUAAUACCGGAUAAUAUAUUGAACCGCAUGGUUCAAUAGUGAAAGACGGUUUUGCUGUCACUUAUAGAUGGAUCCGCGCCGCAUUAGCUAGUUGGUAAGGUAACGGCUUACCAAGGCAACGAUGCGUAGCCGACCUGAGAGGGUGAUCGGCCACACUGGAACUGAGACACGGUCCAGACUCCUACGGGAGGCAGCAGUAGGGAAUCUUCCGCAAUGGGCGAAAGCCUGACGGAGCAACGCCGCGUGAGUGAUGAAGGUCUUCGGAUCGUAAAACUCUGUUAUUAGGGAAGAACAAAUGUGUAAGUAACUAUGCACGUCUUGACGGUACCUAAUCAGAAAGCCACGGCUAACUACGUGCCAGCAGCCGCGGUAAUACGUAGGUGGCAAGCGUUAUCCGGAAUUAUUGGGCGUAAAGCGCGCGUAGGCGGUUUUUUAAGUCUGAUGUGAAAGCCCACGGCUCAACCGUGGAGGGUCAUUGGAAACUGGAAAACUUGAGUGCAGAAGAGGAAAGUGGAAUUCCAUGUGUAGCGGUGAAAUGCGCAGAGAUAUGGGGGAACACCAGUGGCGAAGGCGACUUUCUGGUCUGUAACUGACG